GACGAACGCUGGCGGCGUGCUUAACACAUGCAAGUCGAACGAUGAAGCUGGAGCUUGCUCCGGUGGAUUAGUGGCGAACGGGUGAGUAACACGUGAGAAAUCUGCCCUUCACUCUGGGAUAACUGCGGGAAACUGUAGCUAAUACCGGAUACUUUCCCUGGUGGGCAUCCACUAGGGAAGAAAGAAUUUCGGUGAAGGAUGAUCUCGCGGCCUAUCAGCUAGUUGGUGAGGUAAUGGCUCACCAAGGCGACGACGGGUGGCCGGCCUGAGAGGGUGACCGGCCAAACUGGGACUGGGACACGGCCAAGACUCCUACGGGAGGCAGCAGUGGGGAAUAUUGCACAAUGGGCGAAAGCCUGAUGCAGCAACGCCGCGUGAGGGAUGAAGGCCUUCGGGUUGUAAACCUCUUUUAGCAGGGAAGAAGCGAAAGUGACGGUACCUGCAGAAAAAGCACCGGCUAACUACGUGCCAGCCGCCGCCGUAA
This 484-nucleotide ribosomal RNA is filed under the name uncultured bacterium. RNAcentral describes it as "partial 16S ribosomal RNA". It matches the Rfam family "Bacterial small subunit ribosomal RNA", at positions 28 to 523 of the family's 1533-position model. The record is from RNAcentral.